UUUCUUUGCUGAGAAUGGUAUCCUUCACCAAACAUCUUGCUCUCAUACACCACAAUAAAAUGGUGUAGUUGAGAGAAAACAUAGACAUCUUCUGGAAACAUCCAGAGCAUUAUUUUUCAGUCCCAACUUCCUAUUAAAUUCUGGGGAGAUUGUGUCUUUACUGCCACCUAUCUCAUCAAUAGAUUUCCUUCCAAACUACUUAAUAAUGCAUCUCCUUAUGAGUUACUUUUUGGACAGAGUCCUUCUUAUAACCAUCUUAAGACUUUUGGCUGUCUUUGCUUUGCUUCUGUACCCAAACAGCAUAGAGACAAAUUUCAUCCAAGAGCCGAUCCUUGUGUUUUCCUGGGAUAUCCACUAGGUAAGAAGGGAUACAAACUGUAUAACUUGAAAACCAAACUCACAAUCAUAUCCAUGGAUGUUACUUUCCAUGAGGAUGUUUUUCCUUUUGCCUCUUCAAGAAGUACCUCCUCUGUUCCCCGUUCCAUUGUUCUUUCAUUCCCUAUCUGCUCCCCUGCUAUUGAUGAAUCAUUACUCAGUCCUUCCCCAACAUCUGAUACUUCUCCUUCCCUUUCUCCUUCUGUCUCUAAUCCCUGUCCUACUGCUGCUGUUCCAUUACAUACCACUACCACAACUUCCCAUUCUUUUCCACCUCCAGAACCUGUGUUACCUUCUCCUAGAAGAUCAAGCAGGCCUUCCCUGUCUGCUCCCCUGCUAUUGAUGAAUCAUUACUCAGUCCUUCCCCAACAUCUGAUACUUCUCCUUCCCUUUCUCCUCCUGUCUCUAAUCCCUGUCCUACUGCUGCUGUUCCAUUACAUACCACUACCACCACUUCCCAUUCUUUUCCACCUCCAGAACCUGUGUUACCUUCUCCUAGAAGAUCAAGCAGGCCUUAUGUCCCUCCUGCACAUCUUCAACAAUACAUCUGUAACCUUCCUCCUUCCAUCUUUGGCACUAGUUCUUUUUCCACUUGCUGUAACAGCUCAGUUCACACUGCACAUGUUGAGCCUACCUUUUACAACCAGGCUGCUUCUGAUCUUGCCUGGCAGG
RNAcentral lists this long non-coding RNA (1047 nucleotides) under Nicotiana benthamiana. RNAcentral describes it as "long non-coding RNA (NBEN_LNC011950)". Lineage: Eukaryota; Viridiplantae; Streptophyta; Magnoliopsida; Solanales; Solanaceae. The record is from RNAcentral.